Molecule: ribosomal RNA, 792 nt
Filed under: uncultured archaeon
Lineage: Archaea
Description: bacterial SSU rRNA
Rfam family: Archaeal small subunit ribosomal RNA
Source: RNAcentral
ACUGCUCAGUAACACGUGGACAACCUACCCUUCGGUCGGGGAUAAACCCGGGAAACUGGGUAUAAUACCCGAUAGAGCUCGAAUGCUGGAAUGCAUUGAGCUCGAAAGCUCCGGCGCCGAAGGAUGGGUCUGCGGCCUAUCAGGUAGUAGUGGGUGUAGCGUACCUACUAGCCUACGACGGGUACGGGUUGUGAGAGCAAGAGCCCGGAGAUGGAUUCUGAGACACGAAUCCAGGCCCUACGGGGUGCAGCAGGCGCGAAAACUUUACAAUGCCGGCAACGGCGAUAAGGGAACCUCGAGUGCCAGGUUACAAAUCUGGCUGUCGCGAUGCCUAAAAAGCAUUGCAUAGCAAGGGCCGGGCAAGACCGGUGCCAGCCGCCGCGGUAACACCGGCGGCUCGAGUGGUAACCGUUAUUAUUGGGUCUAAAGGGUCUGUAGCCGGCCGGAUAAGUCUCUUGGGAAAUCCGGCAGCUCAACUGUCGGGCUUUCAGGAGAUACUGUCUGGCUCGAGGCCGGGAGAGGUGAGAGGUACUUCAGGGGUAGGGGUGAAAUCUUGUAAUCCUUGAAGGACCACCAGUGGCGAAGGCGUCUCACCAGAACGGACCUGACGGCAAGGGACGAAAGCUAGGGGCACGAACCGGAUUAGAUACCCGGGUAGUCCUAGCCGUAAACGAUACUCGCUAGGUGUCGGCCACGGUGCGACCGUGGUCGGUGCCGUAGGGAAGCCGUGAAGCGAGCCACCUGGGAAGUACGGCCGCAAGGCUGAACUUAAAGGAAUUGGCGGGGGAGCAC